UGGAGGAAGGGGAGGUGAGCGCGAGCGCGAGCGCGGAUUUAGUGCUGAUUUUUCAGCGUGGAGUUUGUGAACUUGUGCUGCUCUUUGCAUUGCACUGCUUCAGCCUUGGAUAUGCAUGUGUGUGAGAUGUAAAGGAGGAAACAGAGGCUGCUGUCAUGCUGAAGCUGCAGUGGGAGUGCAGUUUGGCGUUGAUUUCCAGGCGCACUGGUGAUGAGCUCAGGAAAGAAACCUGAGCCAGGGCAUGAGACCACAGCUCAGUGAUGUGCUUCACUCUGAAGCGAGGAGAGAGCAGUUUGUCCUGACCAGACUGCAGAAGAUAAUGAGGAAGCACAGUGUGCCAUGUUGUCUGCCCUUUGGAGAGAAUCGAUUCCUUUUGACAGUGAGGCCCUGUACAGGCUUUGUCAGCUCUAUGCAGACCAUGGCUUCAGCAGUCAGAUGAAACCAAGAAGAUGUGAAGAAAAUCCUACAGAAACAGCUUGUCUUUAUUUGAGCGUUCCAGAAUUCAGGUCACACUAAUAAGAGGUCCAGUAGCUUUACCGUUAAACAUACACAGAAGGGGAAGUGACUAGGUGAUCAGCUGUCCUGGUGCGCUGUGACAGCAUUUCUGGUUUAUGGUAAUAAGCACUUCAGCAUGCCCAUACAUCUAUCAUGUCAGCACAGGCGAGACGAUCAGACAUCACGGAGCCAGAAGUUCAGGAGGGACAAGAGAACAAUGAUUCAGAAGAGGAGGAUGUAUCUGAAGAAGAAGAUAGGGAAGAACACAACCAGAGCAUGAGGCAUUAUCUUCAGAUGAAGAAGAAAUCCCCCAAGCUGAAAAAGAGACAUUUUGUCAAAGAACAGGAAAAUGACAUGGUCCUUGACACCAUAUGACAACCAGGGCAGGAUGCCAGCACAAAAUUUCAUAAGGAUGACCCCAUGGCCCACAAGACAUGCAGUUGCCCAUGCCCAGGACAUUGCUUAAACAUUCUACAUGUUCAUCACACCAGCCAUAAAAAAAAAAAAUCAUCCUGGAGAUGACAAAUUUGGAGGGUUUCUGUAAAAAUUGAGACAACUGGAAAAGGAUGGAUGAGAUUGGUCUGCAUGCCUACAUAGGGCUGCUAAUCUUAGCGGGUGUGCGUAGGUCCCAAGGUGAGGUUACGUCUAGUCUCUGGGAUGCAGAGAGUGGAAGGGCGAUUUUCUGUGCCAUGAUGCCACUGAAAGUCUUUCACACUUUCACAAGAAUGCUACAAUUUGAUAAUCAUGAAUCAAGAUCUGCAAGAGAGACAAACUGGCAGCCAUCAGAGAGGUCUGAGAGAAGUGGGUGGAGCGUCUGCCAUACCUCUAUAACCCUGGGCCUGAAGUAACAUCUGUAAUGAUGCUGUCCUUUCCGGCAGAGUAUGCCCAGCAAGCCAUCAACGUAUGGCAUCAGUAUAUGGGUGGCCUGUGACGCACAAUCCUGUUACGCUUGGAAGAUGCAAGUCUACACAAGGAAGCCUUCCAGUGGAGCCCCGGAGAAGAACCAGAGGAUGUGGGUUGUGCUUGACGUGACAGAUAGACUGAGGGGGCACAAUGUCAUGUGUGACAAUUUCUUCACCAGUUAUGAACUCAGCCAGCAGCUCCUGAAGAGGAAGAUCACCAUGUUUGGAAGAGUUAGGAAGAACAAGCCUGAGCUUCCCCCUGCACUCCUUGCAACAAGGGGAAGAGAGGCCUUCUCAUCAUAGUUUGCCUUCAACCCUACCACCAGACUCUAGUUUCGUACUUGCCAAAGAGGAACAAGAAUGUGGUCCUCCUGAGCACACUGUACAAAACGGCUGAGAUCAGUGAUCAUGAGGCCAGGAAGCCAGCCGUCCUCAUACAAUGCCUUUGUGAUAUGGAACAAGAUCAACCCUACCUGGAUGCCUGAUAAGCGGAACAAGAGGAGGGUGUUCCUGGAGCAGCUGGGAAAGCCACUUUAGUAUCCCCAUACAUUCAAAGAAGGGAGCGCCUCCCUCGCACAGCAGCCUUUGCAGUGCUUGUGAAAGCUCUUCAGGGGGCUGAAUCCUGUCCAGAUCCAUCUGAGGCUGCAGCUGAGGCUGGCAAGAGGAGGAGAUGCCAAUUCUGCCCCCCAAAGAAAGACUGUGAAACAAAUACUAUGUGCUGCACAUGUGAGAAAUACAUCUACAAAGUCCAUGCACACACAUUUGCAUACUGUCCUACAUUUACUAAAUAGAGUUGAUUGAUUUAUGUUCUUCAAGUUUUUGUUUUGUAUCUAUUAUCUUAUUUUAUUCUUAUUUAUUGUUGUUGUUUAUACACUUUGUGGGUGGGGGAAAUUGUUAAAAAAAUGGGAAGAGACUAGUAUUUUGUAGUUGAAUUCCUUAUUGUACAGAAUAUAAGAAUAUAUCACUAUGUUGCCAGAACUGUGAAGAGCUGGGGUGUGCAAUCUUUUCCACAAAGGGCCGGUGUGGGUGCAGGUUUUCAAUCCAAUCAAUCAGGAGCCAAAACCUGCACCCACACCAGCCCUUUCUGGAAUAGAUUGGAGACCCCUUGUGAAGAGGGAAGACCCAGAUAUAUACCCAGAUAAAGUUUGUGAUGAAGUUUGUGAUGAAUGACAGGUUUCUUCAUGGAAAAUAGAUUUGGGGUUUAAAAUUCAAUUAAGCCAGCUCUUGGCAUUUGACUAACUAUGUCAUGAAGCUUGGUUGAGAUGACGAGCAAAAACUCCCUUGAUUACAGAAGGACAAGUUAACAGGAAAGAAGGGGCUCAUCCCUGAUUUAAACAUAGGACCUCUAGCACUCAAAGCAAGACUCAUACCCCUAGACCAAAUAGCCUACUAGCCUGGAUUGGCUCAAGCCACUUUUGUUUUUGUUAAUUUCCUUUUGCACAAAUGUCCUAACAUAGACACGACUCUGGGUAUCCUAGAAAGGUCUACUCUCCUUCACAAUUCGGUUCCAACCUUAGUCCAUCACACUAGACAUUUCAACGUAUUUUUGCUUUUGUCUUCAGAGAGCAAAGUGACAUCUGUGAGCACUGGUUUAAUUAAAAUGCAGUGGUGACGUAGAGUGUUUGCAAGUUCUCAUCACCGAAAUUGGUACGCCAAGGUGCUAACCAAGAGGUAGACUAAACCUGAAAGGGCAUUCCCUUGAAAAGAGUCUUCCCUGAAAAUUCAAUUAAGCUGUUUUAUUUUAGGAGUUUAGUGAAGGUGGGUCAUUUUUGACCCUUAGGACAAGUGGAGUAUACAUAAUGUUAAGACUACACAAGGGCUAUAUAAACACAAUGACAAUGUAGUGAAAAGGGAUCACAUCAGUUUUAGCCUUAGUCCAGUACCCUGUCCUGAUCCAAUGUAAGGUUCUUCUAUUUGUUUUUAAAGCUCUUUAAAUGGGCUAGCCCCCUUCUACAUUGUAGACCUUCUUUCUCUAUACUUAGCUCUUAGGUCUCUGAGGUUUUCUGACCAGUUACUCCACACUGUUCUACAGUCUCAGUUGAGGCUAAAGGGUGACCAUGCUUUUGCAAUCACUGUGCCAAGGCUGUAGAACAGACUACCCCAUGAUAUCAGGAGUGCCUCAUCGGUUACCAUUUUAAAAUCAAAACUAAAGUCAUAUCUUUUCACAUUUAUUUUACUUUUGUUAUUGUUAUUACUAUUAUUGCUAUUUUAUCUUUAGCAGUAUUAUUUUAUUUAUUGUGUCCGGUCUGUAUUUUCAGUUUUAUCUCAGUUUUAUUCUUAUGUCUGUACGGCACUUUCGGCAACUAUAGUUAUUAGUAUUGUUAGCAUGUGUUAUUCUGGUUUUAACUUUGUUUUGCUACCCCGAUUUCUGGAUUUUGCCUAUUUUAUGUAUUUUGAUGAUUGCCUGAAUCUCUGCCUGUUUCUGACCUUGAUUUUGCUCCACGUUUUGUAUUGUUUGCCUGGUUUACCUACAGUCAGGUCCGGAAGUAUUUGGACAUUGACAGAGUUUUUGUGAUUUUGCCUUUAUAUAUCACCACAAUGGAUUUGAAAUAAAACAAUCAAGAUGUGAUUGAA
Long non-coding RNA from Pangasianodon hypophthalmus (striped catfish), 3971 nucleotides. RefSeq lists it as uncharacterized. Lineage: Eukaryota; Metazoa; Chordata; Actinopteri; Siluriformes; Pangasiidae. The record is from RefSeq and is a predicted model, not a curated record. The transcript is spliced from 7 exons.